RNAcentral lists this ribosomal RNA (613 nucleotides) under uncultured bacterium. Its description in RNAcentral is "bacterial SSU rRNA". It matches the Rfam family "Bacterial small subunit ribosomal RNA", at positions 34 to 626 of the family's 1533-position model. The record is from RNAcentral.
CGCUGGCGGCAGGCCUAACACAUGCAAGUCGAGCGGAAACGAGUUAUCUGAACCUUCGGGGGACGAUAACGGCGUCGAGCGGCGGACGGGUGAGUAAUGCCUAGGAAAUUGCCCUGAUGUGGGGGAUAACCAUUGGAAACGAUGGCUAAUACCGCAUAAUACCUACGGGUCAAAGAGGGGGACCUUCGGGCCUCUCGCGUCAGGAUAUGCCUAGGUGGGAUUAGCUAGUUGGUGAGGUAAUGGCUCACCAAGGCGACGAUCCCUAGCUGGUCUGAGAGGAUGAUCAGCCACACUGGAACUGAGACACGGUCCAGACUCCUACGGGAGGCAGCAGUGGGGAAUAUUGCACAAUGGGCGCAAGCCUGAUGCAGCCAUGCCGCGUGUGUGAAGAAGGCCUUCGGGUUGUAAAGCACUUUCAGUCGUGAGGAAGGUAGUGUAGUUAAUAGCUGCAUUAUUUGACGUUAGCGACAGAAGAAGCACCGGCUAACUCCGUGCCAGCAGCCGCGGUAAUACGGAGGGUGCGAGCGUUAAUCGGAAUUACUGGGCGUAAAGCGCAUGCAGGUGGUUUGUUAAGUCAGAUGUGAAAGCCCGGGGCUCAACCUCGGAAUAGCAU